AGCGCGGCCCGGCUGUGUCCCUGCGUCCCAGGGGCUGGGCGCGCCCGGCCUGCCCAGCGGGGGAUGCGGGGCGCUGUCACUUCCUCCCAGCAGCCGGGCAGGGGCGGGGGGCUGGCCGCGCGUCGCAUGGUAUGUGGAGUUCGGGGGACGGCACGGGGACGACGGGGUUGUCAGGCGCGGAGCCAUUGUCCGACGACGGCUCCUGAUAGGCCGCCUGGAUGGGGCGCGCUUGGCCGCGUUCCCGCGUCACACACCGGCUCCAGCUGCGGGAGAGCCCGUCCCACCCCAACUCCCCAGCCGCCCCUCUGAAGUGUUCCGGUGUCACCGUGGCCACAAGGAGGCAGGGGACGGGGGCUUCCUGAAGGAGGCCCCCUAAGGGGAAGGGGGCUACAAGGCUGGCCAGAGUGCUGGCCGCGCGGCUGUGCACAGGGCCUUGAGCCCCUCCGGUCGUCAAGCCUUGCUUGAAAUGCGUAAAUGCGGAAAGGUGAAGUGGCUGACCCGGCUCACACCACUUUAAGUAGCGGAGUGGGGUUCCUAGCCAGGCCUAUGGGACUCCCACUGGAGCCUUUCCCCCUCUGGGGCUGGGGCUGGACCCACAGGCUGCCGGAGCAGGCAGAAGGGGAGGGGCCCAAGGCCCAGACUCCAGGGCCUCGUCUGGAUCAUCAACCCGGCUUUGCCCAUUCAGCGCAGGCCUCCGUUUCCAGGCCUGUCUCCCCAUCCACACCGUCUCUCAGGGUUUGUUUUGGGAGAUGUGGGGGUGGGGCAUGUGGGGAGGAUGGAAAGGGGCUGUGAAGGGAACCCACUGGAGAUUCACUUCCUUCCUUAUUUCACACUCUAGGCUAGGAAUUCCUGCCCUCUGGAAAGGACCCAGACAUUUAGGAAUUUCCCGCUGGGCAGGGGCUUCCCUCCUGCCUCACUGGGGCCUCUGCUCCUCCCCUCUUUUGUUUGGCCUCUUUCCCCGCCCCCUGAUCACUCCGCCACCCCUUCUGCAGCCUAGUAACAGGUCUUCCAGGACCAGGGGGGCCAGCGGAGUGGGGGCGGCUGUGGGUUCAGGUGCCCUGGGAACUGAGAACUUCCUCUUCCAGAGUGCUGGCCAAGCGCCAGGUUUGCACUCGGAUUGCCAUCCAUCAUCCUGUCUCUGGGGAACCUGUGGGGGAGCGGAUGCGGGAGGCCGCCAGGAUGCAGGAUGGGGCGUUAAGGCUGCCAACCCCACCCCUUCUCUCCUAGGACUCCAGGGAUGACAUUUUUCAGAUGAGUCCACAGAGCCGCGGUGUCCCGGGGCUGGGAGGGUCCUUCCACCGGCACCGCGCAGAUGGAGUUCAUCCACACAGGGGCGAUGAGGAUACGGGCUGAGGGGCCCUGGCCGGUGGCUGCCUUCACGGCUGGCUGCUGUGGCCUCAUUGUGCAAUCCCCACAAGCCUCUCCUGCCAGACUCUGUUCCCCCACCCCACCCCCUCACCCCCCCUCCCAUUCCCAAGCAGAUCGGGAAAUUGCUCGGGAAGUCUGCAUCUGCCAGGAGGGCGUUGUCAGGCCUUAGGCCCCACUGUCCCCUCGAAGGCAGCCCCUGGUCUCCACGGGCUUUGCAGGGCUGAGGCGGGGCUGCCACCCUUGUCCCCCACUGACGGCAGUGGCCCGCCCAGAGCACCGGCUGGGGAUUGGGAAACGAGGCUGCUGCCUUGGACUUGUGUCUGCACCAGUCACUUCCCCUCUCUAAGCUCAGGCAUGAGGGUCAAUGGUAACAUACGUGAAGUCCUCAAGACAAGGAAAGUCUUCUGAAAAUGGGGCAGCAUGGAGGCCCAAGGGAUGACAGCCAAUGGGGCCCAUAGGGCAGGAGCAGUCCUUACCCUCUUCUCGCAGAUGCAGAAAGCAGUUCCCAAGAGGCCAGGCACUUCCAGAGGAGCCAAAGGCCAGCCUACGGCUCCUCCCCAGCAGGAAGCCAGCAUCACAUGCUGGGUGGCGAUGUUUGUGACCAGUGGCCAGCGGCUGUCCCAUUCCCCAGCUCCCCAGGGCACAGGCCAGGGGCAGUGAGCAGGGGGCUCUGCCUGGUGGGGAGGGCAGCAGACAGGAGCAGACUGGCAAUGACCUCUCCAUUUAGCCUAGAAGGCGAGUGUGCCAGCACCUGGCCAGGAGCCACGGUCAGCUCCUCGCACGCAACCCAGGGCCUCAGAGGCUACGACACAUGGGAUGUUCCCUCCCUUCUGUCUGCCAGAGCAAUGACAGCUGACUGUUUAAAAAUUAUUAUGGUACAAUAUACAUAAUGCAAUUUAUAAUCUUUUAAGUGCACAGUUCAGUGGCAUUAAGUAUAUUCACAGGGUCGUGCAACCAACAGCACCCUCCACCUGCAGAAAUCGUCACCUGGCAAAACGGAAACUCUACCCACUAUGCACUAACUCCUCUUUCCCUCUCCUCCGGGCCCUGGCAACCGCCAUUCUACCUUUCGUCUCUGUGGUCUUGACUAUUCUAUGUACUGCAAAUAAAUAGAGUCACACAGCGUUUAUCCUUUUGUGUCUGCAUCUGCCAGGAGGGCGUUGUCAGGUUUAUUUCACUCAGCAUAAUGCCUUCAAGAUUCAUUCAUGUGGUAGCAGGUAUCAGAAUUCCCUUCCUUUUUGAGGCUGAAUCAUAUUCCAUUGUAUGGAUGGGCUACACUGUGCAUUCAUUCAUCUCUCUGUGCACACUGGGAUUGCUGCUACCUCUUGGCUGCUGUGUACAGUGCUGCUAUAAAACAUGGGUGUGUAUACCAGGUGUGGUGGCUCAUGCCUGUAAUCCCAGCACUUUGGGAGGCCCAGGCGGGUGGAUCGCUUGAGCUCUGGAACUCAAGAUCAACCUGGGCAACAUAGUGAGACCCUGUCUCCACCAAAAAUACAAACAAUUAGCCAGGUGUGAUGGGGUGCACCUGUAGCCCCAGCUACUUGGGAGGCUGAGGUGGGAGAACCACCUGAGCCUGGCAGGUUAAGGCUGCAGUGAGCCAUGAUUGCACCACUGCACUCCAGCCUGGGCAACAGAGUAAGACCCUGUCUCACAACAAAAACAAACAAACAAAAGAACACGGGUAUGCAAAUAUCUGUUCACGUUCCUGCUUUCAAUUCUUUUGGGUAGACUGCUGAUGUUUGUUGAUCUCCACCGGUGCCAGGCGUUGUUCUAAGUGUUUUGUAUACAUUAGCCGAUUUCAUCGGACAGCCUAAUGAAGUGGGCACUAACUCUCUUCUUUUCACAGAUGAGGAAACUGAGGCACAGAGCGGUCCAGUCAUGUGCCAGCCAGUGGUGAAGCUAGGAGCCCCUUCACUAAGCACAGUGUUAUCUUGCUUCUCCUCCAACGUUGCUCAGCGUCUGAAAUUCAGCUUGAUGUAUUUAAGUCAGACACAAGAAAGGACUUCUAGACCAAGGAGUUUAGAUGCAGAAAUGGGAGGAGGAAGCCAGGCCAAGGAUUCCUUUUCGUAUUUGGCAGAUGGAGAAACCGAGGCCUGAUGAGCUCUCUGGUACUGAUGCAAAAUGCCUAAGUGCAGCUCCGGUCCCUUCUGCCUGGGGUUCCUGUAGAACAUGGGCCCUUCUCGGAGCCGGCAUAAUUUCCAGGAAAACAGCUGCAGAGCUACGGCCUAUGCAGGGUUCUGCCAAUGACAGAGGCCAGUCACGUGGCAGGACCUCUCUUGGGAAGCCCAGUGCUGCUUCAUGGGGCUGUUUGGAG
Molecule: long non-coding RNA, 3682 nt
Filed under: Homo sapiens (human)
Lineage: Eukaryota; Metazoa; Chordata; Mammalia; Primates; Hominidae
Description: non-protein coding LINC00677:6
Source: RNAcentral